GUCAGUCUUUGUCCAGGGGGCCGCCUUCGCCACCGGUAUUCCUCCAGAUCUCUACGCAUUUCACCGCUACACCUGGAAUUCUACCCCCCUCUACAAGACUCAAGCUUGCCAGUUUCAAAUGCAGUUCCCAGGUUGAGCCCGGGGAUUUCACAUCUGACUUAACAAACCGCCUGCGUGCGCUUUACGCCCAGUAAUUCCGAUUAACGCUUGCACCCUCCGUAUUACCGCGGCUGCUGGCACGGAGUUAGCCGGUGCUUCUUCUGCGAGUAACGUCAAUCGCUAAGGUUAUUAACCUUAACGCCUUCCUCCUCGCUGAAAGUACUUUACAACCCGAAGGCCUUCUUCAUACACGCGGCAUGGCUGCAUCAGGCUUGCGCCCAUUGUGCAAUAUUCCCCACUGCUGCCUCCCGUAGGAGUCUGGACCGUGUCUCAGUUCCAGUGUGGCUGGUCAUCCUCUCAGACCAGCUAGGGAUCGUCGCCUAGGUGAGCCAUUACCCCACCUACUAGCUAAUCCCAUCUGGGCACAUCUGAUGGCAUGAGGCCCGAAGGUCCCCCACUUUGGUCUUGCGACGUUAUGCGGUAUUAGCUACCGUUUCCAGUAGUUAUCCCCCUCCAUCAGGCAGUUUCCCAGACAUUACUCACCCGUCCGCCGCUCGUCACCCGA
RNAcentral lists this ribosomal RNA (664 nucleotides) under Klebsiella planticola. Its description in RNAcentral is "Raoultella planticola partial 16S rRNA". Lineage: Bacteria; Pseudomonadati; Pseudomonadota; Gammaproteobacteria; Enterobacterales; Enterobacteriaceae. The record is from RNAcentral.